CGCGGCCUAUCAGCUUGUUGGUGGGGUAAUGGCCUACCAAGGCGGCGACGGGUAGCCGGCCUGAGAGGGUGUACGGCCACAUUGGGACUGAGAUACGGCCCAGACUCCUACGGGAGGCAGCAGUGGGGAAUAUUGCACAAUGGGCGCAAGCCUGAUGCAGCGACGCCGCGUGGGGGAUGAAGGCCUUCGGGUUGUAAACUCCUUUCGCUAGGGACGAAGCUUUCUGUGACGGUACCUAGAUAAGAAGCACCGGCUAACUACGUGCCAGCAGCCGCGGUAAUACGUAGGGUGCGAGCGUUGUCCGGAAUUACUGGGCGUAAAGGGCUCGUAGGUGGUUUGUCGCGUCGUCUGUGAAAUUCUGGGGCUUAACUCCGGGCGUGCAGGCGAUACGGGCAUAACUUGAGUGCUGUAGGGGUAACUGGAAUUCCUGGUGUAGCGGUGAAAUGCGCAGAUAUCAGGAGGAACACCGAUGGCGAAGGCAGGUUACUGGGCAGUUACUGACGCUGAGGAGCGAAAGCAUGGGUAGCGAACAGGAUUAGAUACCCUGGUAGUCCAUGCCGUAAACGGUGGGCGCUAGGUGUGAGGGUCUUUCUACGACUUUCGUGCCGUAGCUAACGCAUUAAGCGCCCCGCCUGGGGAGUACGG
RNAcentral lists this ribosomal RNA (645 nucleotides) under uncultured bacterium. RNAcentral's name for it is "bacterial SSU rRNA". It matches the Rfam family "Bacterial small subunit ribosomal RNA", at positions 232 to 885 of the family's 1533-position model. The record is from RNAcentral.